Canis lupus familiaris (dog) is the source of this 2370-nucleotide RNA transcript. It is a transcript of the gene named translation initiation factor IF-2-like, with no coding region annotated. Lineage: Eukaryota; Metazoa; Chordata; Mammalia; Carnivora; Canidae. The record is from RefSeq and is a predicted model, not a curated record. The transcript is spliced from 3 exons.
UUAUGAACCUCUUAGUAAAACUUCCUUGCUGGCUCUAGCACCAAGAACAGUAGCACUGCCCUCAAGUAACCGGUCUGUGUUGGAUCCUAUAGAUCCUGAAUCUAGUGACUCACCAGGUUUUUCUUUGGUAGGGGCUAAGAAAAACCCUACAAAACCACCCACGUGGCCCAUGUUAACAUCAUUACAAGCCAUUAUGAUCCCUUGUACAUACCCAGCUCAACUUUUCAUUUUUCCUUUGUCUUCCAUUUUUAGCUUUUGUUUCUCUUUGUAAGCUGCUGUGAAUCUUUCGUGGGGCAAAACAAAGGAUGGAUGAACAAACAGAGAGAAGAACCGGCCUUCAGUCGCUGAAAAGGGAAAAGAAUCAGCCGUUAAACCAUGAUGUGGCUUUGAAAAAUGAUCAGAAAAAUCUUGGGUAUGACCCGAAGGAUGUAACAGAGUAUUACAUCACCAAAGAAGUACCUGCAAGAACUGGAGAGACCUCAGGUUUCACAGAGAUGUCACCUGGAUAGGUGAAAUACACCUUUCCAAAGCAUCUGACUCCGUCACCAUCGUGACAGGGUUUCGAAACCUCAGAGUCAGUGUUGGGCAGCAGCUAGAAUGAGCAGAUGCUCUGUGUUUCUUCAGAUAUCUGUGGGUGGAGAAGCUCCAGGUAACAUUUUGUGAUGUCACCACACGGAGACUGUGAUGCAAAUGAAUACACAUUUUCCCCCAAAAUGGGACGUGCUAGAAAAACAUCGUACCUGAUUAUUGGAGCUGGUAUAAUUUCCAGUAGAACAUCUUUUGCCCUCUUUGUCUCUCUGAAUAGUAUUUUCAAUUCUCAGCAUCAACCAAAAAAACAUCCUGUUCUCAGUAACUGGCUAUGAACGAAGGGUUUUAAAUAGUUUCCCUGGGAAAUUCAGGCUUGCUUUCACCUAUGUGGAAACUUAAACAUGCCUUUAUAAUGCUCAUGUUGCCAGUCACUUAGCAAAAUUUUUCAGGUGAAUUCACUCAUUGAUUUGAAAAAGCAUUAUUUUUAGCUAAAUAGAAUCAAAAUUAUGGUGUUUGUUGUACAAAUGUAGCUAUGAACAGGAGGAAAAACUCCAAUUUUGUAGCUGAAUGGGGUUCCCUUGAAAUCAAGAUGUGGCAUAUUCAAUCUGCUCAAUCAGUAUUUAUUACGUGCCUUCUCUUUGUGAGGCAUUGUACCAGGUGGAGCAAGGGAUUCUACGAUGAGCGGACGAUGCCUCCACACCGUGGAAUGUGUACACUAUGUUAGGCGGUGCAUAAACCACACCUUCCACCACAAAGAUCUGUGUUAAGCAUAAAAAGGUAUUCAGCUAAGGGAGGGGGGUUGGAAAGAGGGAGAGAGUCCUUGUCGUGGCGCCUGGGCAAGGCUCCAUGGAUUUUGAGCUGAGCCGCUAUGGACUAAUCAACAGUUCCCUCUUACCCCACACCAACCUGGCAUAAUUUUGCAAAUGAGUUUCAGAGGCAGACUGGGCUACUGAAGGAUGGUAUUUGAAGAUUUAAAAAAUGUUUUUAAGGGUUUUUAUUUAUUUAUUCAUGAGAGACACACAGAGAGAGGCAGAGACACAGGCAGAGGGAGAAGCAGGCUCCAUGCAGGGAGCCCGAUGAGAGACUUGAUCCCAGGACCCCGGGAUCACGCCCCCGGCCGAAGGCAGACGCUCAACCACUGAGCCUCCCAGGGGCCCCAGGGACUUGAAGAUUUAAAAAACAACAACAAAACUGGAGCUUUAGUAUAAAACUGGCAAGCUUUAGUCUAUUAUGCUAUUAUUUGUGAAAUUAGUUUCUUUACUAACCAUUGUUUAAAAAGUGAAGGCCAUGGAUGAAGAUACGUUGUCCUCUCUUGGAAUAACUCCAGUGUGUCCGACAGGCACCCCCUGAAUGCCCACCACACCCCCCAUGCUGUACUUCUGAGAAGGUUCCAUGUAAAGUUGGAAAUAAGCCCACUACCGAAGGCGCAACUGAAAUCGCCUUUUCAAGUGAAAAGCAUGUGUGCUUGUGCUGGAAAGGGCCGCCGCAUCUUACUCCUCAGGAACAGAAAGCGGGAGCAGACCUGGAGAGAGAGCUCUUACCCGCUUACCCCACGUCAUCUCCUGUGACCGAUUGUAAAACUCUUCCAGUUUGAAACUGAGAAAUUUUAAGUUUGCUUGUACAGGAAAAACGUCGACUGCCGAAGUCUGUUGCUAAAGAUCUCUGCAAACGCACCAGAACUGUUAACGGAGGGGAGGGUGCUGAAGGGCAAGCGAGCAAGGGACCUGUCACACUUCUAUUCUGUAUUUGUGUGCUGUUUAAUAUUAUUCCCAAAAUGUGUAUUACUUUUUAUAAAUGUCAGAAAGGAGGAAACCAAUAUAAUUUCACAUCCUGUUGCUUAAA